GACGAACGCUGGCGGCGUGCUUAACACAUGCAGGUCGAGCGGUAAGGCCCUUUCGGGGGUACACGAGCGGCGAACGGGUGAGUAACACGUGGGUGACCUGCCCUUAGCUCUGGGAUAAGCCUGGGAAACUGGGUCUAAUACCGGAUAUGACUCCAUGACGCAUGUUGUGGGGUGGAAAGCCUUGUGCGGCUAGGGAUGGGCCCGCGGCCUAUCAGCUUGUUGGUGGGGUGAUGGCCUACCAAGGCGACGACGGGUAGCCGGCCUGAGAGGGCGACCGGCCACACUGGGACUGAGACACGGCCCAGACUCCUACGGGAGGCAGCAGUGGGGAAUCUUGCGCAAUGGGCGAAAGCCUGACGCAGCGACGCCGCGUGAGGGAUGACGGCCU
RNAcentral lists this ribosomal RNA (388 nucleotides) under uncultured bacterium. Its description in RNAcentral is "bacterial SSU rRNA". It matches the Rfam family "Bacterial small subunit ribosomal RNA", at positions 28 to 417 of the family's 1533-position model. The record is from RNAcentral.